This 999-nucleotide ribosomal RNA is filed under the name Triticum aestivum (bread wheat). RNAcentral describes it as "partial small subunit ribosomal RNA". Lineage: Eukaryota; Viridiplantae; Streptophyta; Magnoliopsida; Poales; Poaceae. The record is from RNAcentral.
AUGGCAGAUGAGACUAGUGGCGGCCGAGGGAACCCUGGUCCGGCACUCACUCCGCCGGGGGAGAGCACAACUAUGUUUGCCUCACGCCCAAACGCAUCAUCAUCCUCUCCUUCGCAUGGCCGCAUCAGCCUAGAAGGAUAUUCAUGGCCGCUGCAGUUUGAAGCUGCAGUACCGUCGAGAAGGACGGGAGCGGCCAUGACGGACCACGGUGGCACUGCCGACGACUUGUCCCACAUAAAUCUCGCGGAUGAGAAUGGCUGUGCGCACGCCAUGAACUUGCAGGCCCCACACGUCAUGUCAGGAGGAGGAGUCCGGGAGGAUACGACCACCGCCAUGAUAGGAGAAGGAGGUCAACAGGACGACGGGGUCGCCGGUGUAGAGCAAAGAAUGCAGGCGAUUGAUAAAGUUGGACAAACAUUGAUUGUUCCAAAAGUUGGAUUGGCUUUCGAUUCAGAGGACAGCGCUUAUGAUAUGUACAACGCAUAUGCCCCCAAGGUUGGGUUCAGUGUCAGAAAAAGUCACACAAAGCGACGAGGUGAUAAAAGUAUAUCUCAAAAAUAUAUAGUUUGCAGUAACGAAGGCCAUCGAGAUACCCAAUCAUCUAAGGACACUGCAAGGACAGGUUGUGAGGCUCGUAUUCAGUUUAGUGUCAACAAGGAUGGUAUUUGGACAGUGCAAAAGCUUAUAACCGAGCACAAUCAUUAUCUUGCUAGUCCCAAUAAGGUGCACAAGCUGAGGUCCCAAAGACGUGUUAUAGAAGCGGAUAGACAUCUAAUUGGCCAGAUACGGGAAGCCGGGAUGAAGCCAUCCCAGGUAUAUGACUUUAUGAUAGCAUUUUACGGAGGACCCGACAAAGUACCAUUCUCAAAGAUGGACUGCAAUAAUGAGAUUGGUCGCGAGCGCAAGAAGUAUUUAGAAUCAAAUAAUGCACAGACACUGUUGGAAUACUUGAAAAAUAAGCAAAGAGAGGAUCCUACAUUUUUUAUGCCAUUCAGAUAG